GGCCUUGUGGUGCAGUGGUAGCAUACUCGCUUUGGGUGCGAGUGGUCCCGGGUUCAAACCCCGGCGAGGCCC
Umbelopsis sp. AD052 is the source of this 72-nucleotide non-coding RNA. NCBI's taxonomy places the organism in Eukaryota, Fungi, Mucoromycota, Umbelopsidomycetes, Umbelopsidales, Umbelopsidaceae. The record is from the annotation of a GenBank genome assembly.